Molecule: long non-coding RNA, 2223 nt
Organism: Triticum aestivum (bread wheat)
Lineage: Eukaryota; Viridiplantae; Streptophyta; Magnoliopsida; Poales; Poaceae
Exons: 7
Source: RefSeq, a predicted model, not a curated record
CAAUAACUAUCUAAAAGGGAUAAAACUCUCGCGUAUAUCUCUCCGGAGAGCCAAAUAUCUCAAAUUGUUAUGGUAGAGGUUUAAAUCUAACUUAGCAGCCUCUGUUUCCUUCCAUGGUUUCUACUGUCCAAGACCUCCAAUCGAUGGCAGUUGAUCGUUCUUCCCUCCUCCGGCUAGAGCACGACCAAGGAACGACGCCUUCCAGUUUGAAGCCUACAUCGCUGGCUCUCCAUUUGAUCCACCCAUCACAAGGUAUUGCUUAUUUGUGUGAUUUGGAGCCAAGGAGACAACAAUCCAUGAUAGCUCAUGGCUUCAUAUGCAAUUUCGUUCAAAUCUUUAGUCCCUGGCGAGUUUGACCAAGAUCUGAUGGAUUAGUUACUCUCUCUCUUAUCACACGUGCUGAUUUCUCUAUGCUGAGUUUGACCAAGAUCUGAUGGAUUAGUUACUCUCUCUCUUAUCACAGGUGCUGAUUUCUCUAUACUGAGUUUGACCAAGAUCUGAUGGAUUAGUUACUCUUUCUCUCUUAUCACACGUGCUGAUUUAUCUAUGCUGAUUUGUCACAUGCAUAUUUACUUGAACCAUUCUUACUAUUACGGUGGCACAACUAAUCACGUAUAGUUAUCUACCGAUGCAUAUUGGCUCAUCCGAAAGAAAAUUGUUCAUCCACCAGACUGGGUUUAUUGCGACUUUGCGAGUCCAAUACUGGCGGUGCCGAGUCCAAUACCGACUGCUCUGUUGCUUCUCAUCGCUGGCAUGUGUAUGGCGCCAUGCCAGUAUGCAACAACAAUCCUGGUGCCCGUAUGAAUAACUCUUGAUGUAGGCAUAGCAUGCAUGCAUUGGAGAAAUAUUAAUAUAAUGUAAUAAAAGAAACAUGUGUGUAUAUACUGUUUGCAUCCGAGUUGAGGUGUUUUGGUCAUGUUUUAUUUUGCACGGUGGUCAUCGACCGGUUAUAGGUUGCUCCAGGCCUCGAAGGCCCGGCGGUACUGCUCCUCCACACGGAGAGCUGAUGGUGCUGCUGCUCCUCGGCACCUUUGAGCGGUCUGUUAAUAGGAGGCGUGAGGCGAGCUGCAAGACUUCACGACACCUUUGAGUGGUCUGCUAAUAGAAGGCAUGAGGCGAGCUGCAAGAUUUCAGGCACAUAAACAGCGCAAUGGCAAGAGCUAUAUAAUAUCACAUUGAUAUUCUGGACCCCGCAGGAGAAUAUAUAUUUAAGUGGUGUACAUGUACUAUGUAUAACUAGAAGAAGAUUACUAUAUUUGUGACUACACUAGAAAUUUAUAGUUGUUGCAGCACGUGGUUAGUUUACAAUAUCACGGUGGUGGUCAUCGACCAGUUAUAGGGUGCUCCAGUGCUCGAAGGCCCGGCGGUACUGCUCCUCGACAGGGAGAGCUGGUGGUGUUGCUGCUCCUCGGCACCUUGGAGCGGUCUGCUAAUAUGAGGCGUGAGGCGAGCUGCAAGACUUCAGGCACACAAACAGCACAACAGCAAGAGCUAUACAAUAUCACAUUGAUACAUAUUCUACAGCCCGCGGGAGACAUUAUAUAUUUAAGUGGUGUACAUCUACUAUAUAUACCUACAAGAUUACCUAUGUUUGCGACUCUACAAGUACUGGAAAAAAAUUUGAACUAGAAAUUUAUAGAUCCUGCAUCACGUGAUUCUAUUCCUAAAUGGUUCAUGGCUACACGUCCCGUUUUCAGGAUUAUUCUGUCCAUGCCUUGGCUUUCACCUAGAUGGACAAGAGUCUGUUCUUUAGUGAGACGCCCAGCUGCAAGUUGUUGUUUGACCAGUUGUGAGGUGUCUCAGAGGCACCAAAUGGAUGUUCAUAAUGUUGAUCUAUCUACAUAUCAUGUGGUACACGGCCCAGAAAGAAGCAGUACGAUGGUUGGUCCAAAACUAAGCUCAUUCUUAGCAUGGGAUCACUGCCGAGAUUUCUUUCUCUUGACAAGCAGCAUCAUUGCUUACACCAGGAGUUCUUUAGCGGCGGCAAAGAGUCGAGGUGCAGCAAUACUGAUGCAUCAUGCAAUGCCAAGUGAACAAAUGGUGUCUCUCGGGAAAUUACGGGGACGGAUACGAGCACUACGUACCGUUGUCCUACUAUUAAGAAGUUAUAUUGCUGUUUCUCAUCAAGACAUUGUUUAAUAAGGAAAACCAUUUUCUUAUGAAAAAAUCCAUGUGGCAACAUGGUUCAUCUAAUAUUAUUCUUGAAGUGAACUGAUUCGGCUU